GGGAGUCGGCCCUGCCCGGCGGUUAAAUAUACUAAGCGGUUGCAACUAAGAGUUGUGCUAAGGUAGCACAAUAAAUUGUCCUUUAAAUGGGGAAUAGAAUGAAGGGGUUGACGAGGGAAAAGCUGUCUCUGUAGUAUGGUCUAAAGUUUUCUUUUAAGUGAAAAGACUUAAGUUUUGUAAUAAGAAGAGAAGACCCCGGCGAGCUUAAUUAAUAUCUUUAGUGGAGUAAAGGAGUACGAAUUUUUGUUGGGGCAGCACAAAAGGAUAUGAAUUCUUUUUGGAUGAAAUGAUGAGGAUCCAUUUUUGAAUGAAAUAAGCAAAAGCUACCGCGGGGAUAACAGCGCAAUUCUGUCUUAGAGCUCAUAUCGAAGAAAGAGUUUGCGACCUCGAUGUUGGAUUAAAGUUUCUUUUUGGUGUAGAAGCUAAAAAAGAGGGCCUGUUCGUCCCUUAAAUUUUU
RNAcentral lists this ribosomal RNA (457 nucleotides) under Mactra maculata. RNAcentral describes it as "partial 16S ribosomal RNA". It matches the Rfam family "Bacterial large subunit ribosomal RNA", at positions 1848 to 2597 of the family's 2925-position model. The record is from RNAcentral. Lineage: Eukaryota; Metazoa; Mollusca; Bivalvia; Venerida; Mactridae.